UUGAUUUUUAUAUAUAUAGAUGCAUAAGUUUUGAAGUUUUACAGCAAGUCAAAAUUUAUUUUUUAGUCAUUUUAUUUUUUCUGUCAUUUCAUUACUAACAUAAGGUAUAAAUUCCGCCCACUAUUUCCAUUUAUGUAAAUCCUUAUAUUUGCCAAAAUAAUAAAGAUAUCGGUUUGAAAAUUAUUAAACGAGAUACUAUUGACUUUCCCUCCAACUACAAGUUUGUAUUUGGGGGCUGAGGAACUGACCACGCCUACUUUUUAAUCUAAAUGUAUAAACCAAUUGUGGUUCGUUGGUAAUUGAAUCUGUUGAGAACGGUUGGAACGAUUUGGAUAUUUUUUAUAUUAAUGUUCGUCCUACCCCGAGCUAGAUUUUUAUGAAUGUGUCCCCAAGUAAUGCAAAGGUAGCCAAUUGACACCUUUUGGUCCCCAAGUAAUGCAAAGAAGCGACAGUUGUGCAUAAAUAAAAACCACCACGAAAAAACCAAACGAACAUUUGAAUGAGAUCUCUACGAACAAGAACCACUUUGAAUAGUUAGUUAGAAAUGACAAAUAAAAAGUUAAGAAUGAGUAGUAAAAGUAAUAAACGUAAUAAAAUAAUAAUAAAAGUAAUUCAAGGUAAAAUUAUAGCAUUCUUCUCAGAAUUGUUACAAAUUAUUAAUUUGUUUGUUUUCACUAUAGGUCAAAUCAAAAUUUUAGCUGAUGCUUUAGCUGAGUUGAAGGUGAUGGUGCUACGAUCUCAAAGUGAUGAGAUACCAUUAUCGAAUAGGUUCCCCAUCACUUAUAAAAAAUAUUGAGAAUCAAAACAUAUAUGUAAAGAUUAUAGCAUCAAUUAUAAAAGGAGAGGAAAUAUCGAAAUGUUUAAAAAUGUUAUCGGUUCAAAUAUUACUACGAGUAUAAUAUUGAGGGAAACCAUGGAAAAAAGUUUGAAGUCCCUAAGUAAUAUAUACAGCGUUAUUUUAGAUUCAAUACCAGCUACAGAAUAUUCGGACACCCCUGAAACACAACUGCGAAAAGGAAAACAAGUGCUUUUAAAAAUAUUAAAU
Molecule: long non-coding RNA, 1045 nt
Organism: Musca domestica (house fly)
Lineage: Eukaryota; Metazoa; Arthropoda; Insecta; Diptera; Muscidae
Exons: 3
Source: RefSeq, a predicted model, not a curated record